GAUCGUCUAUUUUAAUUAAAAUUUAUGCCUUGAAAGCAUGGGAUAAGGGUUGAGUAUUCUCUUAACGGUCU
RNAcentral lists this transfer RNA (71 nucleotides) under Challia fletcheri. Its description in RNAcentral is "tRNA-Ser". The record is from RNAcentral. Lineage: Eukaryota; Metazoa; Arthropoda; Insecta; Dermaptera; Pygidicranidae.